Molecule: long non-coding RNA, 1032 nt
Filed under: Olea europaea subsp. europaea
Lineage: Eukaryota; Viridiplantae; Streptophyta; Magnoliopsida; Lamiales; Oleaceae
Source: RNAcentral
CAAGUUUCUCCUUUAAAAAGGGAAGCUCCCAAAGUGGAAAAUCCACCAAGCAACAUAUAUAAGAGAUUUUUGCAGAUGAAUUGUGUUGAGAAUUAAGAAAGAUGGGAAUAAAGUUAUGGGUAAUGUUAGUGAUGAUGGUGCUUUCAUUACUAAAUGAAUGGUGUUGUUUAGGGUGUUGGGAGGAAGAAAGGAUUGCUCUUUUGCACCUCAAAGUAAACAUGAACUUUCCUGAUGGAAGAUCGUUGCCUUCAUGGGUGGUUAAUGAGAUUGAAGCUGACUGUUGUCAAUGGCAAGGGGUUGAAUGCAGCAACACAACUAAACGAGUAAUCCACCUUAAUCUUGAUGCUGUUAGGGAUCGGAAAUUAGGAGAUUGGUAUUUUAAUGCCUCUCUAUUUCUUCACUUUCAAAAGCUCAGACAUCUCUCUUUGCAGUGGAAUCAGUUAGUAGGUUGGAUUGAGAAUGAAGGUAUGAUGUCAUCUCUCCUUAAUUAGGCAUCUUCAACUUUAUUAUUCCUAUUUCAUUUGAGUGAUAAAUAUAGAUAUGUUGAACCUUGUUGCAGGUUUUGACAGAUUGUCGAAGUUGAGAAAUUUGGAGGCCCUUGAUCUGAGUUGCAAUUCAUUUCAUCGCAAAAUUUUGUCAUCUCUUAGUCAGCUUUCUUCUCUCAAGUAUUUGAGAUUUCGAAGCAGCCUUUUAGAUAGAGAAAAUUACGGCAAUAGUAAAUUCAAAAUACUUCAUAUUCUGGUGGUUAUUUUGUAGAUCAUGAAAUUAUCGAAGAACAAACUUUAGACAAUAAAUCAACUUAUUAUAAUUAAACUUUUAUUGUUGCAGUAUAAGAUAAGCAAUUUCUCUUAAACCUUUAAUUUUCUCCAUUAACAGUGCAGAUCAAAGAACCAAUUUAACCUUAUUAGUGUAUUAUGAGAAAAAGCAGAGGGAGUAAAUAAUUUUAAAAUACAGUAACAAUACAACAUUUUUGAGAAAAAAACAUACAAGUGCAAGAAUUUUUGGAGUGAAGACCAGAUAACGUAGCUCCAA